CCCUUAGAUGUUCUGGGCCGCACGCGCGCUACACUGAUGCAUUCAACGAGCCUAUCCUUGACCGACAGGUCCGGGUAAUCUUUGAAUCUGCAUCGUGACGGGGAUAGAUUAUUGCAAUUAUUAAUCUUCAACGAGGAAUGCCUAGUAGGCGCAAGUCAUCAGCUUGCGUCGAUUACGUCCCUGCCCUUUGUACACACCGCCCGUCGCUCCUACCGAUUGGGUGUGCUGGUGAAAUGUUCGGAUCGGCCGUUUGUCGCGGUUUCCGCGGCUCGUGGCUGAGAAGUUCAUUAAACCCUCCCACCGAGAGGAAGGAGAAGGCGUAACA
RNAcentral lists this ribosomal RNA (325 nucleotides) under uncultured eukaryote. RNAcentral's name for it is "partial 18S ribosomal RNA". It matches the Rfam family "Eukaryotic small subunit ribosomal RNA", at positions 1470 to 1796 of the family's 1831-position model. The record is from RNAcentral.